This 468-nucleotide ribosomal RNA is filed under the name uncultured bacterium. Its description in RNAcentral is "partial 16S ribosomal RNA". It matches the Rfam family "Bacterial small subunit ribosomal RNA", at positions 28 to 507 of the family's 1533-position model. The record is from RNAcentral.
GACGAACGCUGGCGGCGUGCUUAACACAUGCAAGUCGAACGGAAAGGCCCUGCUUUUGUGGGGUGCUCGAGUGGCGAACGGGUGAGUAACACGUGAGUAACCUGCCCUUGACUUUGGGAUAACUUCAGGAAACUGGGGCUAAUACCGGAUAGGAGCUCCUGCUGCAUGGUGGGGGUUGGAAAGUUUCGGCGGUUGGGGAUGGACUCGCGGCUUAUCAGCUUGUUGGUGGGGUAGUGGCUUACCCAGGCUUUGACGGGUAGCCGGCCUGUGAGGGUGACCGGCCACAUUGGGACUGAGAUACGGCCCAGACUCCUACGGGAGGCAGCAGUGGGGAAUAUUGCACAAUGGGCGGAAGCCUGAUGCAGCAACGCCGCGUGCGGGAUGACGGCCUUCGGGUUGUAAACCGCUUUCGCCUGUGACGAAGCGUGAGUGACGGUAAUGGGUAAAGAAGCACCGGCUAACUACGUG